CGUCUAUAUACGUAUAGCAUAUCAAUAAGCGGAGGAAAAGAAACUAACAAGGAUUCCCUUAGUAACGGCGAGUGAAGCGGGAAGAGCUCAAAUUUGAAAUCUUCAAGGUUUUACCUUGACGAAUUGUAGUUUAAAGAAGUGUUUUCUGUUGAAGUUUCGGUAAAAGUUCUUUGGAAUAGGACAUCAUAGAGGGUGAGAAUCCCGUAUUUGACCGUUAUUUUCAGCUGUGUGAUACACUUUCAAAGAGUCGGAUUGUUUGGGAAUGCAGUCCAAAAUGGGUGGUAAAUUUCAUCUAAAGCUAAAUAUUGGCGAGAGACCGAUAGCGAACAAGUACCGUGAGGGAAAGAUGAAAAGAACUUUGAAAAGAGAGUUAAACAGUACGUGAAAUUGUCAAAAGGGAAGCGUUUGACACCAGUGUUGUUUUCUCGAAAAUCAAUUAAAAAGUGUUGGAUUUUGUAUUGUUAAGACCUUAUCAGCUUACUGUACUCUUUUCCUGCACUUUUUAAUGCACUUUUCGUUUAACAAGUCAACAUCAGUUUCUUUUGUUGUAAAAAGGUCAUUGGAAGGUGGCUUUCUUUUCGGAGAAAGUGUUUAUAGCCUUUGAUCCCUGCAAUCGGAGAGACUGAGGUCUGCAGCGUAGACUCCUUCGGGGUUAGAUACAUUUGUGCUAAGUUAUAGCCUUUCAUAGACAACUUGUUGACUAUGAUUCAGUCAUGUAGCUUACUCGCUUAUGCUAUUUUACCUACGCUUAGGAUGUUGACUGAUAUGUAGUCGU
This 775-nucleotide ribosomal RNA is filed under the name uncultured Neocallimastigales. RNAcentral describes it as "partial large subunit ribosomal RNA". It matches the Rfam family "Eukaryotic large subunit ribosomal RNA", at positions 26 to 643 of the family's 3401-position model. Lineage: Eukaryota; Fungi; Neocallimastigomycota; Neocallimastigomycetes; Neocallimastigales. The record is from RNAcentral.